GUGGGGAAUAUUGGGCAAUGGGGGCAACCCUGAUCUAGCCAUGCCGCGUGAGUGAUGAAGGCCUUAGGGUCGUAAAGCUCUUUCGCCGGGGAAGAUAAUGACUGUACCCGGUAAAGAAACCCCGGCUAACUCCGUGCCAGCAGCCGCGGUAAUACGGAGGGGGUUAGCGUUGUUCGGAAUUACUGGGCGUAAAGCGCGCGUAGGCGGAUCGGAAAGUUGGGGGUGAAAUCCCGGGGCUCAACCCCGGAAUUGCCUUCAAAACUCCCGGUCUUGAGGUCGAGAGAGGUGAGUGGAAUUCCGAGUGUAGAGGUGAAAUUCGUAGAUAUUCGGAGGAACACCAGUGGCGAAGGCGGCUCACUGGCUCGAUACUGACGCUGAGGUGCGAAAGCGUGGGGAGCAAACAGGAUUAGAAACCCUAGUAGUCC
RNAcentral lists this ribosomal RNA (425 nucleotides) under uncultured bacterium. Its description in RNAcentral is "partial 16S ribosomal RNA". It matches the Rfam family "Bacterial small subunit ribosomal RNA", at positions 354 to 796 of the family's 1533-position model. The record is from RNAcentral.